This 494-nucleotide ribosomal RNA is filed under the name uncultured bacterium. RNAcentral's name for it is "partial 16S ribosomal RNA". It matches the Rfam family "Bacterial small subunit ribosomal RNA", at positions 28 to 507 of the family's 1533-position model. The record is from RNAcentral.
GACGAACGCUGGCGGCGCGCUUAACACAUGCAAGUCGAACGGAAAGGCCUGCUUUCCCUUGUGGAUUGCGGGUACUCGAGUGGCGAACGGGUGAGUAACACGUGAGUGAUCUGCCCCCAACUUGGGUAUAAGCCUGGGAAACUGUGUCUAAUUCCCGAUAGGACUGCAGGGUGGUGCCUGUGGUGGAAAACGAUUUUCUAGUGGUGGGGGAUGAGCUCGCGGCCUAUCAGUUUGUUGGUGGGGUAAUGGCCUACGAGGGCGGCGACGGGUAGCCGGCCUGGGAGGGUGGACGGCCGCAUUGGGACUGAGAUACGGCCCAGCCGCCUGCGGGAGGCAGCAGUGGGGAGUAUUACACGAUGGGCGGAAGCCUGAUGCAGCGACGCCGCGUGGGGGAUGACGGCCUUCGGGUUGUAGACUCCUUUCGACCGCGAGGAAGCCACCUGGUUGGACGGGUGGUGACGGUAGUGGUAGAAGAAGCACCGGCUAACUACGUG